AUUGAACGCUGGCGGAAUGCUUUACACAUGCAAGUCGAACGGCAGCACGGACUUCGGUCUGGUGGCGAGUGGCGAACGGGUGAGUAAUGUAUCGGAACGUGCCCAGUCGUGGGGGAUAACGUAGUGAAAAUUACGCUAAUACCGCAUACGAUCUAUGGAUGAAAGCGGGGGAUCGCAAGACCUCGCGCGAUUGGAGCGGCCGAUAUCAGAUUAGGUAGUUGGUGGGGUAAAGGCCCACCAAGCCAACGAUCUGUAGCUGGUCUGAGGGGACGACCAGCCACACUGGAACUGAGACACGGUCCAGACUCCUACGGGAGGCAGCAGUGGGGAAUUUUGGACAAUGGGCGAAAGCCUGAUUCAGCCAUUCCGCGUGCAGGAUGAAGGCCCUCGGGUUGUAAACUGCUUUUGUACAGAACGAAAAGGUUUCUACUAAUACAAGGAGCUCAUGACGGUACUGUAAGAAUAAGCACCGGCUAACUACGUGCCAGCCGCCGCAGUAA
This 500-nucleotide ribosomal RNA is filed under the name uncultured bacterium. RNAcentral describes it as "partial 16S ribosomal RNA". It matches the Rfam family "Bacterial small subunit ribosomal RNA", at positions 30 to 523 of the family's 1533-position model. The record is from RNAcentral.